GACGAACGCUGGCGGCGUGCUUAACACAUGCAAGUCGAACGGAAAGGCCCUGAUUUUGCGGGGUGCUCGAUUGGCGCACGGGUGAGUAACACGUGAGUAACCUGCCCUUGACUUUGGGAUAACUUCAGGAAAAUGGGGCUAUUAUCGGAUAGGAGCUCCUGCUGCACGGUGGGGGUUGGAAAGUUUCGGCGGUUUGGGAUGGACUCGCGACUUAUCCGCUUCGUGGUGGAGUAGUGGCUUACAAAGGUUUUGACGGGUAGCCGGCCUGGGAGGGUGACCGGCCACAUGGGGACUGAGGGACGGCGCAGUCGGCUACGGGAGGCAGCAGUGGAGAGUAUUGCGCAGUGAGCGGGAGCGUGAGGCGACAGCGCCGCGUGCGUGAUGACGUCCUUCGAGUUGUAAACCGCUUUCGACUGAGACGAAGCGUUAGUGACGGUAAUGGGUAAAGAAGCACCGGCUAACUACGUG
RNAcentral lists this ribosomal RNA (468 nucleotides) under uncultured bacterium. RNAcentral's name for it is "partial 16S ribosomal RNA". It matches the Rfam family "Bacterial small subunit ribosomal RNA", at positions 28 to 507 of the family's 1533-position model. The record is from RNAcentral.